This 243-nucleotide ribosomal RNA is filed under the name Triticum aestivum (bread wheat). Its description in RNAcentral is "partial small subunit ribosomal RNA". Lineage: Eukaryota; Viridiplantae; Streptophyta; Magnoliopsida; Poales; Poaceae. The record is from RNAcentral.
AUCGCUCGCCUUACCUUGCAGGAGGAGGAAGAGGAUGAUUUUGUUUGGGAGGAGGAACUCCCGGACUUGAUGGAACCGGCGCAAUGGCUGGCGAUCGCUAGGGUGCACACAUCAAAAACUUUUAUCCCUAAUGCACUCUAUGGCGAUAUGAGGGCAGCCUGGAACCCGGCAAAGGCGGUAGUCUGGAGGAAGAUCAGGGAGAACCUAUUUACAGCGCAGUUUGGGUGCCUUGCGGAUUGGAAG